RNAcentral lists this transfer RNA (77 nucleotides) under Pseudomonadales bacterium. Its description in RNAcentral is "tRNA-Ile". It matches the Rfam family "tRNA". From Rfam's summary of the family: Transfer RNA (tRNA) molecules are approximately 80 nucleotides in length. Their secondary structure includes four short double-helical elements and three loops (D, anti-codon, and T loops). Further hydrogen bonds mediate the characteristic L-shaped molecular structure. tRNAs have two regions of fundamental functional importance: the anti-codon, which is responsible for specific mRNA codon recognition, and the 3' end, to which the tRNAs corresponding amino acid is attached (by aminoacyl-tRNA synthetases). tRNAs cope with the degeneracy of the genetic code in two manners: having more than one tRNA (with a specific anti-codon) for a particular amino acid; and 'wobble' base-pairing, i.e. permitting non-standard base-pairing at the 3rd anti-codon position. RNAcentral also lists the same sequence under 11 other names. Lineage: Bacteria; Pseudomonadati; Pseudomonadota; Gammaproteobacteria; Pseudomonadales. The record is from RNAcentral.
GGGCCUGUAGCUCAGUUGGUUAGAGCACUGGACUCAUAAUCCAUUGGUCGAAGGUUCGAGUCCUUCCGGGCCCACCA